AGUGAACGCUGGCGGUAGGCCUAACACAUGCAAGUCGAACGGCAGCACAGUAAGAGCUUGCUCUUACGGUUGGCGAGUGGCGGACGGGUGAGGAAUACAUCGCAAUCUACUUUUUCGUGGGGGAUAACGUAGGGAAACUUACGCUAAUACCGCAUACGACCUACGGGUGAAAGCAGUGGAUCUUCGGACCUUGCGCGAUUGAAUGAGCCGAUGUCGGAUUAGCUAGUUGGCGGGGUAAAGGCCCACCAAGGCGACGAUCCGUAGCUGGUCUGAGAGGAUGAUCAGCCACACUGGAACUGAGACACGGUCCAGACUCCUACGGGAGGCAGCAGUGGGGAAUAUUGGACAAAGGGCGCAAGCCUGAUCCAGCAAUACCGCGUGGGUGAAGAAGGCCUUCGGGUUGUAAAGCCCUUUUGUUGGGAAAGAAAAGCAGCAGGUUAAUACCCCGCUGUUCUGACGGUACCCAAAGAAUAAGCACCGGCUAACUUCGUG
RNAcentral lists this ribosomal RNA (492 nucleotides) under uncultured bacterium. RNAcentral describes it as "partial 16S ribosomal RNA". It matches the Rfam family "Bacterial small subunit ribosomal RNA", at positions 29 to 507 of the family's 1533-position model. The record is from RNAcentral.